UCCUUUGUGCAACUGUAAAACAAACUAAGCUUCAUCUUAUGACCGUAUCUAGGAUAACACACACACAUAGACAGCAGAUACACACUAUAUAUGAUGUACAAAUGUGUUAGUUUAUGGCAAAUACAUGACAACUGUUACCAUUCACAGGCGGAAGUUGUAAGAUCAUUUACUUAUUUCAGGAUGAAUGAUAAGAUCUUUUUUUUUUUUUGGUUACAAGCGGGGUCAAAAAGACCCAAACAAAAGAAAAAGAA
Long non-coding RNA from Rosa chinensis, 251 nucleotides. RefSeq lists it as uncharacterized. The transcript is spliced from 2 exons. The record is from RefSeq and is a predicted model, not a curated record. Lineage: Eukaryota; Viridiplantae; Streptophyta; Magnoliopsida; Rosales; Rosaceae.